RNAcentral lists this ribosomal RNA (253 nucleotides) under uncultured bacterium. RNAcentral describes it as "partial 16S ribosomal RNA". It matches the Rfam family "Bacterial small subunit ribosomal RNA", at positions 524 to 776 of the family's 1533-position model. The record is from RNAcentral.
UACGUAGGGGGCGAGCGUUGUCCGGAUUUAUUGGGCGUAAAGAGCGUGUAGGCGGCCAGUCAGGUCCGUUGUGAAAACUCGAGGCUCAACCUCGAGACGCCGAUGGAAACCGACUGGCUAGAGUCCGGAAGAGGAGAGUGGAAUUCCCGGUGUAGCGGUGAAAUGCGCAGAUAUCGGGAAGAACACCCGUGGCUAAGGCGGCUCUCUAGUACGGUACUGACGCUGAGACGCGAAAGCGUGGGGAGCGAACAGG